Molecule: long non-coding RNA, 315 nt
Organism: Trematomus bernacchii (emerald rockcod)
Lineage: Eukaryota; Metazoa; Chordata; Actinopteri; Perciformes; Nototheniidae
Exons: 2
Source: RefSeq, a predicted model, not a curated record
UAAAGACACAACUAAGAGAAGCUCAAUCUUUAUUUAAAACAGGUUUCAUCACAAGGUCAUUCAGAGAGUUCAGGGAACAUCAGGAAACAGUUUCAGACAGGUUUCAUCACAAGGUCAUUCAGAGAGUUCAGGGAACAUCAGGAAACAGUUUCAGACAGGUUUCAUCACAAGGUCAUUCAGAGAGUUCAGGGAACAUCAGGAAACAGUUUCAGACAGGUUUCAUUAGAGGUCAUUCAGAGAGUUCAGGGAACAUCAGGAAACAGUUUCAGACAGGUUUCAUUCGAGGUGUAAACUAAAGGAUCACAGCAUUAUUAU